RNAcentral lists this ribosomal RNA (2923 nucleotides) under Klebsiella pneumoniae. RNAcentral describes it as "bacterial LSU rRNA". It matches the Rfam family "Bacterial large subunit ribosomal RNA". The record is from RNAcentral. Lineage: Bacteria; Pseudomonadati; Pseudomonadota; Gammaproteobacteria; Enterobacterales; Enterobacteriaceae.
GGGUUGUGAGGUUAAGCGACUAAGCGUACACGGUGGAUGCCCUGGCAGUCAGAGGCGAUGAAGGACGUGCUAAUCUGCGAAAAGCGUCGGUAAGGUGAUAUGAACCGUUAUAACCGGCGAUGUCCGAAUGGGGAAACCCAGUGCAAUUCGUUGCACUAUCGUUAACUGAAUACAUAGGUUAACGAGGCGAACCGGGGGAACUGAAACAUCUAAGUACCCCGAGGAAAAGAAAUCAACCGAGAUUCCCCCAGUAGCGGCGAGCGAACGGGGAGCAGCCCAGAGUCUGAAUCAGCUUGUGUGUUAGUGGAACGGUCUGGAAAGUCCGACGGUACAGGGUGAUAGUCCCGUACACCAAAAUGCACAGGCUGUGAACUCGAAGAGUAGGGCGGGACACGUGGUAUCCUGUCUGAAUAUGGGGGGACCAUCCUCCAAGGCUAAAUACUCCUGACUGACCGAUAGUGAACCAGUACCGUGAGGGAAAGGCGAAAAGAACCCCGGCGAGGGGAGUGAAAAAGAACCUGAAACCGUGUACGUACAAGCAGUGGGAGCACCUUCGGGUGUGACUGCGUACCUUUUGUAUAAUGGGUCAGCGACUUAUAUUCUGUAGCAAGGUUAACCGUAUAGGGGAGCCGCAGGGAAACCGAGUCUUAACUGGGCGUUAAGUUGCAGGGUAUAGACCCGAAACCCGGUGAUCUAGCCAUGGGCAGGUUGAAGGUUGGGUAACACUAACUGGAGGACCGAACCGACUAAUGUUGAAAAAUUAGCGGAUGACUUGUGGCUGGGGGUGAAAGGCCAAUCAAACCGGGAGAUAGCUGGUUCUCCCCGAAAGCUAUUUAGGUAGCGCCUCGUGAAUUCAUCUUCGGGGGUAGAGCACUGUUUCGGCUAGGGGGUCAUCCCGACUUACCAACCCGAUGCAAACUACGAAUACCGAAGAAUGUUAUCACGGGAGACACACGGCGGGUGCUAACGUCCGUCGUGAAGAGGGAAACAACCCAGACCGCCAGCUAAGGUCCCAAAGUCAUGGUUAAGUGGGAAACGAUGUGGGAAGGCACAGACAGCCAGGAUGUUGGCUUAGAAGCAGCCAUCAUUUAAAGAAAGCGUAAUAGCUCACUGGUCGAGUCGGCCUGCGCGGAAGAUGUAACGGGGCUAAACCAUGCACCGAAGCUGCGGCAGCGACACUAUGUGUUGUUGGGUAGGGGAGCGUUCUGUAAGCCUGCGAAGGUGUGCUGUGAGGCAUGCUGGAGGUAUCAGAAGUGCGAAUGCUGACAUAAGUAACGAUAAAGCGGGUGAAAAGCCCGCUCGCCGGAAGACCAAGGGUUCCUGUCCAACGUUAAUCGGGGCAGGGUGAGUCGACCCCUAAGGCGAGGCCGAAAGGCGUAGUCGAUGGGAAACAGGUUAAUAUUCCUGUACUUGGUGUUACUGCGAAGGGGGGACGGAGAAGGCUAUGUUAGCCGGGCGACGGUUGUCCCGGUUUAAGCAUGUAGGCUGAUUAUCCAGGCAAAUCCGGAUAAUCAAGGCUGAGGUGUGAUGACGAGGCACUACGGUGCUGAAGUAACAAAUGCCCUGCUUCCAGGAAAAGCCUCUAAGCAUCAGGUAACAUCAAAUCGUACCCCAAACCGACACAGGUGGUCAGGUAGAGAAUACCAAGGCGCUUGAGAGAACUCGGGUGAAGGAACUAGGCAAAAUGGUGCCGUAACUUCGGGAGAAGGCACGCUGGUGUGUAGGUGAAGCCCCUGCGGGUGGAGCUGAGACCAGUCGAAGAUACCAGCUGGCUGCAACUGUUUAUUAAAAACACAGCACUGUGCAAACACGAAAGUGGACGUAUACGGUGUGACGCCUGCCCGGUGCCGGAAGGUUAAUUGAUGGGGUUAUCCGUAAGGAGAAGCUCUUGAUCGAAGCCCCGGUAAACGGCGGCCGUAACUAUAACGGUCCUAAGGUAGCGAAAUUCCUUGUCGGGUAAGUUCCGACCUGCACGAAUGGCGUAAUGAUGGCCAGGCUGUCUCCACCCGAGACUCAGUGAAAUUGAACUCGCUGUGAAGAUGCAGUGUACCCGCGGCAAGACGGAAAGACCCCGUGAACCUUUACUAUAGCUUGACACUGAACAUUGAGCCUUGAUGUGUAGGAUAGGUGGGAGGCUUUGAAGCGUGGACGCCAGUCUGCGUGGAGCCAACCUUGAAAUACCACCCUUUAAUGUUUGAUGUUCUAACGUUGGCCCCUUACCGGGGUUGCGGACAGUGUCUGGUGGGUAGUUUGACUGGGGCGGUCUCCUCCCAAAGCGUAACGGAGGAGCACGAAGGUUAGCUAAUCCUGGUCGGACAUCAGGAGGUUAGUGCAAUGGCAUAAGCUAGCUUGACUGCGAGCGUGACGGCGCGAGCAGGUGCGAAAGCAGGUCAUAGUGAUCCGGUGGUUCUGAAUGGAAGGGCCAUCGCUCAACGGAUAAAAGGUACUCCGGGGAUAACAGGCUGAUACCGCCCAAGAGUUCAUAUCGACGGCGGUGUUUGGCACCUCGAUGUCGGCUCAUCACAUCCUGGGGCUGAAGUAGGUCCCAAGGGUAUGGCUGUUCGCCAUUUAAAGUGGUACGCGAGCUGGGUUUAGAACGUCGUGAGACAGUUCGGUCCCUAUCUGCCGUGGGCGCUGGAGAAUUGAGGGGGGCUGCUCCUAGUACGAGAGGACCGGAGUGGACGCAUCACUGGUGUUCGGGUUGUCAUGCCAAUGGCACUGCCCGGUAGCUAAAUGCGGAAGAGAUAAGUGCUGAAAGCAUCUAAGCACGAAACUUGCCCCGAGAUGAGUUCUCCCUGAGACUUUAAGUCUCCUGAAGGAACGUUGAAGACGACGACGUUGAUAGGCCGGGUGUGUAAGCGCAGCGAUGCGUUGAGCUAACCGGUACUAAUGAACCGUGAGGCUUAACCUUACAACGCCGAAG